UAGUGCCACAUCAAGCCCGGCGGCGACAGAUAGAGGAUAGAGCAGAGUGGGGGCGAGUUCGAGCAUGUUUUACCUAAGGAAUUAUUCAGGUCGCUCCCGUGCAAAUCGAGCAGCGUUCGUGUCGUUUUUUGUAGCUCCUAGGUCGAAUCCAUGCGUAGCCAUUUUGUCCGCGGUUUUUUAUGACGGUGGGUUGCAAUCCAUCGGAGCAGUUUACUUGCUUUUGCUGCUGGAUUUUUGGGGAGGCAAAUCAUGCGAGCUAUUCUACUGUAAAGAGCACACGGGGGGAUCUCUGUGUUUGUCAGGGGGGUGUGCUUCAUCUGUUCCCUAGCCUAGAUGUGCUGCUGGCCCAAUCACCGCCAGCGGCAUGAGGUGCUGCUGCAGCGGCCACAGGCACAAGCUACUACUUCCCUCGCAGCAGCCUACGAACGCCCCAAAUGUCUGGGUGGUCUGACGAUGAUGGCGUGGACUGCGAACUGUCUUCUGCCGCUGCUCCCUUGGCGUCCUCCUCUUCCAACGUCUCCGCGGGAGGGGUGUCAUCCAUGAAUGCCGGCGCAGGCUUGGUGCACCAGGGGACUACGGCUAGUGCAGGAGUGGAGUCAUCUACCUCGACACAGCAAGACAGUGCCACCCGCACUGUCCGGCCGUCCGCCUCGCACAGCAUGUGGCUGACUUGAUCCUGUACCGGCAGACUUGCAAAGGAAUUGUCCAAAAUCUCACUAAUUUUGAUAAGGCUUUUUUAGGAGCGAGGGGCAAUUUUGUGUAUAUGUUGUGGAUAACAAGUGAAGCAGUAAGUAGCGGACUGCAGGGAGACACAAGCUUUUCCCCUACAUGAACACGAGCUUGGCAAGUUUCAGGAUGCGACAGUGCAGUGUUCGCAAGAAUCUACUGUGAUAUUUGCUUUUCAAGUUGCUGAAUCAUGUUUGCGUUUACCUUGGGAAAAGAACCAGGAGGAGUACUCAGUGGGAGCAUGCAAGCAGGGGUUGCAAUGCUACUGUGCAUGAUCUAAACAAUCGGGUGGACUAUAUACUCUGCUCGAAGCAAUUAAACCAUGCUGAUGAUACAAGAAUAUGUGAAACUGUUUGAAACAAGUUUUGUGUAGAUAUUUUUCUGCUUCUGUUUCAUGCCUAUGCUUCUACCAUGUACGGGUUUUGAAAACAAUGCUGCAUCUCUAGGAUCUGAAUCUAAACCUUAUCUGUCUCGUUUUU
Brachypodium distachyon (stiff brome) is the source of this 1205-nucleotide long non-coding RNA. RefSeq lists it as uncharacterized. NCBI's taxonomy places the organism in Eukaryota, Viridiplantae, Streptophyta, Magnoliopsida, Poales, Poaceae. The transcript has 3 exons. The record is from RefSeq and is a predicted model, not a curated record.